This 27-nucleotide non-coding RNA is filed under the name Mus musculus (house mouse). Lineage: Eukaryota; Metazoa; Chordata; Mammalia; Rodentia; Muridae. The record is from RNAcentral.
UNGGUUGCUAAGCUAUCCUGUGCCUGU